UUCUCUCUUCCCUUGAAAAGAUGCAGACAGUGAGUGGCUUUGCAAUAGGCAAGCUGUUGUGCUUUCUCAUUGUAAUGACAGCAGAGGAAAAGCAAUCAAGAAAGAACUGAAAACCAUCUUGAAGUGCUCAAAAAUGUCCUGUGCAUGGGACAAAGCUCUUUGUACUUGAUGAAAGAUUGAAUCAAGUUGGACAGUGCUGAUACCUUGUUUCUUUUGUUUGCUCUAAGAGUAAACUAAUCUCAUUUA
Pezoporus occidentalis (night parrot) is the source of this 246-nucleotide long non-coding RNA. RefSeq lists it as uncharacterized. The transcript has 2 exons. The record is from RefSeq and is a predicted model, not a curated record. NCBI's taxonomy places the organism in Eukaryota, Metazoa, Chordata, Aves, Psittaciformes, Psittacidae.